GCUAGGAUAGCUCAGUUGGUAGAGUGAUGGUCUGAAAAACCAUAUGCCACCAGUUCAAAUCUGGUUCCUGGCA
This 73-nucleotide transfer RNA is filed under the name Rhipiliopsis peltata. RNAcentral describes it as "tRNA-Phe". It matches the Rfam family "tRNA". Rfam says of the family: Transfer RNA (tRNA) molecules are approximately 80 nucleotides in length. Lineage: Eukaryota; Viridiplantae; Chlorophyta; Ulvophyceae; Bryopsidales; Halimedaceae. The record is from RNAcentral.